GUGACGUCACAGUGAGCUGCGCCCUCCCUUCUCCUUACUUUUUCCUGUGUCAUUGAACACAACUCGAGACUUUCGAAACCUCCCACUCAGUAUCGGAUGAAUAACACAGUUUGAUGUUUUGCUUGUUCUGCUGACGGACACGUUAAAGACGUCUGCGCUCCCGUUUCUGUGCAUGUCCAGCAUGAGACAACUGGAAUUCAACCACAUUGAACACCGACUUCAGGGACAGACGAGCCUGAAGGACACAGCUGUGAUGACCAUGUUCUGUCUCUUAUGGCAAAGCAGAAAUAUAAAACACUGGGUUCUUAUCUAAAGUGUAUCAAAUCAGAUCUCCACCAUGUUGCUGCUGAGG
Molecule: long non-coding RNA, 352 nt
Organism: Platichthys flesus (European flounder)
Lineage: Eukaryota; Metazoa; Chordata; Actinopteri; Pleuronectiformes; Pleuronectidae
Exons: 3
Source: RefSeq, a predicted model, not a curated record